Molecule: ribosomal RNA, 502 nt
Filed under: uncultured Desulfobulbus sp.
Lineage: Bacteria; Pseudomonadati; Thermodesulfobacteriota; Desulfobulbia; Desulfobulbales; Desulfobulbaceae
Description: bacterial SSU rRNA
Rfam family: Bacterial small subunit ribosomal RNA
Source: RNAcentral
ACGCCCGCUCAGAACUCAAAGGAAUUGACGGGGGCCCGCACAAGCGGUGGAGUAUGUGGUUUAAUUCGAUGCAACGCGAAGAACCUUACCUGGUCUUGACAUCCCGGAGACCCUUAGGAAACUAGGGGGUGCUUCCAUCUGGAAGAAUCUGGAGACAGGUGCUGCAUGGCUGUCGUCAGCUCGUGUCGUGAGAUGUUGGGUUAAGUCCCGCAACGAGCGCAACCCUUGCCUUUAGUUGCCAGCAGUUCGGCUGGGCACUCUAAAGGGACUGCCGGUGUUAAACCGGAGGAAGGUGGGGAUGACGUCAAGUCCUCAUGGCCUUUAUGACCAGGGCUACACACGUACUACAAUGGCCGAUACAAAGGGCAGCGACACUGCGAGGUGAAGCCAAUCCCGUAAAAUCGGUCUCAGUCCGGAUUGGAGUCUGCAACUCGACUCCAUGAAGUUGGAAUCGCUAGUAAUCGUGGAUCAGCAUGCCACGGUGAAUACGUUCCCGGGCCUU